CAGUCGCCACGGUAAUACGGAGGGUGCAAGCGUUAUCCGGAUUUAUUGGGUUUAAAGGGUCCGUAGGCGGAUCUGUAAGUCAGUGGUGAAAUCUCACAGCUUAACUGUGAAACUGCCAUUGAUACUGCAGGUCUUGAGUAAAUUUGAAGUGGCUGGAAUAAGUAGUGUAGCGGUGAAAUGCAUAGAUAUUACUUAGAACACCAAUUGCGAAGGCAGGUCACUAAGAUUUAACUGACGCUGAUGGACGAAAGCGUGGGGAGCGAACAGGAUUAGAUACCCCCGUAGUCCCUGUCUCUUAUAC
Molecule: ribosomal RNA, 301 nt
Filed under: uncultured bacterium
Lineage: Bacteria
Description: partial 16S ribosomal RNA
Rfam family: Bacterial small subunit ribosomal RNA
Source: RNAcentral